This is a long non-coding RNA of Octopus sinensis (East Asian common octopus), 196 nucleotides long. RefSeq lists it as uncharacterized. The record is from RefSeq and is a predicted model, not a curated record. Lineage: Eukaryota; Metazoa; Mollusca; Cephalopoda; Octopoda; Octopodidae. The transcript has 3 exons.
UGCAUACAUGUGUGAUGUGUGGUGGCCAUGUAAGCAUAGUUUAAAUAUGAAAAAUACAACCUUUUGAGUUCAGAAACAAUUCUAAAAAGAUAAUAGAAAUCUCAACAGGACUUUUGGAGUUUUUUCAUGUUUACUUGCAGGUGCAGGAGUGGCUGUGUGGUAAAUAGCUUGCUUACCAACCACAUGGUUCCGGGUU